UAAGAAGAGAAAGAAAC
RNAcentral lists this small RNA (17 nucleotides) under Arabidopsis thaliana (thale cress). RNAcentral describes it as "ATSL125060". The record is from RNAcentral. Lineage: Eukaryota; Viridiplantae; Streptophyta; Magnoliopsida; Brassicales; Brassicaceae.